GGCUCUCAUUGCCGGCGACGGCCGGGUAUGGGCCCGACGCUCCAGUGCCAUCCAUUUUCAGGGCUAGUUGAUUCGGCAGGGGGGGUGGUUUAC
Trachemys scripta elegans is the source of this 93-nucleotide long non-coding RNA. RefSeq lists it as uncharacterized. The transcript has 3 exons. The record is from RefSeq and is a predicted model, not a curated record. NCBI's taxonomy places the organism in Eukaryota, Metazoa, Chordata, Testudines, Emydidae.